This is a long non-coding RNA of Homo sapiens (human), 793 nucleotides long. RefSeq lists it as uncharacterized. The record is from RefSeq and is a predicted model, not a curated record. The transcript has 3 exons. Lineage: Eukaryota; Metazoa; Chordata; Mammalia; Primates; Hominidae.
UCCACCACCUCAGCCUCCCAAAGUGCAUCAGAGAUUUUUAUCUUCACUGGGAACCGCUCUUCUUGCAUCCUAUGGCAUUCUGGUGGGACUAUCAAUCUCAGUGCUUCCUGUACAACCUGGCUACAGGGCUAUUUCAAUUCUGCCCACAGGGAUUGGGCCAAAGGAUAGACAUGUGACUCAGGCAGGACCAAUCAGAUUUCUCCCAUAUUGAGUUGCCGGGUAAAAUACAGCCCACCCAAUUAACUGAAUUUUAGAUAAACCACAAUAUUAAGUGAAGCUGCUUGUGGCCAACUUUGCUGGAUAUAUCCAUUUACAGUUGGAGAGAAUGAGGGUGAUCUAUAAAAGGAGCUGAGAUAUCAACUGACGUUUAUCUACAAGGAUUUUUAUCAGGGUUGUUUGAAACCAGGGGUCAGCAAAAUUGUUUCGUGACCAGUCAAGUAUUGCCGUGACCCUCAGGUUGAAGGUCACAUAACCUGAGCAUGCCCAGAUGAACCAAGUGUGCAGCCAGAGGGGGAACCUAAGGGCUUGGACUGACGAUCGGGGGACUGAAUUAAGAAGUGGACAUGGCAGGACCCAGGAUCCAAUCAGGUCAAUCCCUAGCAUCAUCUCAUGGAAGGAUCCAAUCAGAUCAUGCCUCCCAGCAUCACUUCAUUGCAAGAUCCAAUCAGAUCAUGCCUCAUUACUUCAUGCCUAUAAAACCUGACCCAGCCCUCUGUUUAGGAGGCACUGUUUUAGGAAUUAUCCCCUGUGGUCCCCUUACUUGCUGCAAGUAAUAAAAUCCCCUUGUUAAGUC